CUGAGAGCCUUGGAGAUUGAAACCUUCUAUUUAUCCACAGAAUAGGUUCAGCAUGGACAACAUUAGUGUGAGCGUCCCUACUAAUGUGCCUCAAUGCUGUUCUUUACUGCCUCUCUGAGGUGAGAGGGCAGUUUAUUCCCCAUGCCCAUCCUUCGUCUCUCUGCU
Unclassified non-coding RNA from Chelonoidis abingdonii (Abingdon island giant tortoise), 165 nucleotides. The record is from Ensembl. NCBI's taxonomy places the organism in Eukaryota, Metazoa, Chordata, Testudines, Testudinidae.